RNAcentral lists this long non-coding RNA (353 nucleotides) under Cicer arietinum (chickpea). RNAcentral's name for it is "long non-coding RNA (CARI_LNC003168)". Lineage: Eukaryota; Viridiplantae; Streptophyta; Magnoliopsida; Fabales; Fabaceae. The record is from RNAcentral.
GAGGAAGAACAAUGACUAGUAAACUGAAGAUUAUUAUUUCAACCUUGGUUUUAGUUCUUAUAUUCUCAAUAGGUAUGUAGACAAUUUGCAUAAUAGAAUUUAAAUCUCUUUCAUAUGUUAUGUUGCUUAUGCAUAUUGAUUAUUGAGUACUACACUAAUAUUACUCUUUUCAACAGGUACAAACGGUUUAAUACUUAAACACGAGAAAUGCUUUUCCCAAUGUGACCUAACAAAUAAUAAUUGCAUGUCCUUAUGCACUGGCAAGGGAUAUUAUAGAGGAUUUUGUGAUCCAGACCCGUCUUUUACUGUUCCAUUGUGUUGUUGUUUCAGUGAUUGAAAAAUUAUAACUUAGA